CUCUGAUGACAAUCCAGAGGAGAGUGUCUAUGUCAGAGAGGAUGAGCACCUCAGGCAAAGGUUUCUUGACUCGUUCCAUCGUGGGCUCCAUGUUGGAGGAUGUUGACAUGGUGAGAACUGAUGGACACGAGAUACACCGGCCAUCCUCCUCAAAGUCCUCCCUGUCCAUCACCUCUGCCAUGACCAGAGGGUCCCAGAGUGAUUUUACAAAUUCUCUUCCAGGCACUCCAGUCUCCAAUGAGUGGCCUGUUGAAAGCUUUUGUCCUAUCAUUAGGAGUUCGGUCAUUGAUAUGAGUGACUCCUCAACACAUUCACAAGGGUCAACAAAUUACACAAGGCAAACCAUCUCUGCCAUAGUUGACACUGUUAUGGAGGUAAUUCCAAGAAAAGAUACGGAACACAUAGCCACUGCAGAUGAUGUCACUUCUUUUACAAGAAGACUUGCGAGACUCAGCCCCAGAGACUUCUCACAUGAGCUCACUGACAAAGUUUAUGAGCUCAUAAAAAGUCACAACACCCCCCAGGCUCUUUUUGUGCCAGCUGGCAAGAGCGUGUCUGACUCUAUUCUUUUGAAGCUGAAGACAGGAUUGAAUGCUUCUGAAGAAUCCAGGGAGUUUCCAUCUGACCUUGUGUACUCCUUUGCUAAGGAGUCAAUAAAACGUCUGCUACAGCAGAUUAUCUUCUGGCUUCCUCCACCAUCACAAGGAUCCGGUUUCUGCCAAACUAUCAUCUCUGAUGGUUCUCUGCAGGACACAAGUCGGCUUAUCCCAAGCUCUUCUGCCAUCUCCAUUAGUUCCUCACAGGUUUACUGUGACACAAAGAGCCUUUUCACCAAUAUAAUGGUCAAUCAGGUGGAUACCUGUUCUGUGGCCUCAAAUUCAUCAGUGAAAUUAUCAGAGUUGAUGAACAUAAUCAAUGGGUUGUCCCCAACUGAUGCUGGAACACUUGACUCUGACAGACCGGCUCUCAUGACCACUAGCCGUCAGUCUAGUGCCAAAUUAUUGCCUAGACCCUCUCUGUCUGGCAGCAGCACACACAACGGUGGAACUGUGGAUAUUCAAGUUUUAGGAGAGGUGGAAUCCAAGAUGGACAACAAAGAUCUGGAGAUGUCUAGUGUCUCUGUGCAUCCAUCAACUCCAUCAGCCAUGGUCUUCGAUACACAUGCAUCAUUUGACUCCACUAGCAAUGACUACACCUCUCUGGUACUUUUACUGAUUAUUAGAUUGCUGUCAAUGAUCACCCCUAUCACAUUACUGGAAUCCUCUGACAUUGGUGAAACAUCAAGAGUUCUCACAAAGAGGAUUUUGUCUGAGUUCUGUGGCACCUCAGGCCUUGAACCAACUCAAGCCUACCCCCAGAAUCUGAAAAUCAAAAUGAUUUUCAAGGCUGUCUACAAGGGGCUUCUUCAAGAAUUUGGGUCAGAGAAGAUGCUCCAGGUUGCAAUGAAGUCAACGGAUUAUGCAUUUGACGAUGCCCUGGUCAAAUCAUUAACUAGGGAACUGCUAACUAAAUGCAAUGAGGCUAGCUCUUCACCUCACUCCAUGACCCAGUUGUCAUCACACAAUGCACUUGGCAGUGACGAGUUAGGUAAUUCUGGGCUUCCAACAACUGGUAAAAAGGAAAAGAAGAGGGGAAGAUUCAACGCUCUCUGUGGAUUCAACCCAAAGGUACAUAUGUCAUCAAAAUACAUCAAAAUAAAUAUAUUCAUUACGUACUGUGUGAUGGUAAACACUGAUACCUUUUGUGUGCAAUUUCUCCUACUGUACAAAUGACUGUUUGUUUUCCAGUGUACACAGAAGGUCAACAAGAGGAACCACUGCACUCCAACACCUUCCCAGAACGAGACCCCUGCUAUCAGUGAAACAGCAAUUGUCAAUGAUCAAGAAUCCUGCCUUACAGAGAGUGUAUGCUCCACCAAGAAGAAACCAAAGAAGCGUUCGCUCAUUUCUAGGAUGUUUUCAGCUAUAGGCAAAGCCUUGUCCCGUCCCUUUACUUCCUGCUAUAAAAGGAAGAGCACCUAAUCUAUAUUUCAAAAUAAAUAUUUGAAAUAAACAUAAUUGCA
This is a long non-coding RNA of Oncorhynchus masou masou (cherry salmon), 2062 nucleotides long. RefSeq lists it as uncharacterized. Lineage: Eukaryota; Metazoa; Chordata; Actinopteri; Salmoniformes; Salmonidae. The transcript is spliced from 2 exons. The record is from RefSeq and is a predicted model, not a curated record.